Molecule: ribosomal RNA, 477 nt
Filed under: Acrapex subalbissima
Lineage: Eukaryota; Metazoa; Arthropoda; Insecta; Lepidoptera; Noctuidae
Description: partial 16S large subunit ribosomal RNA
Source: RNAcentral
UGUCUUUUUGGAAAUAAUAUAAAGUCUAAUCUGCCCACUGAUUAAUAAAUUAAAGGGCUGCAGUAUAUUGACUGUACAAAGGUAGCAUAAUCAUUAGUCAUUUAAUUGAUGACUUGUAUGAAGGAUUGGAUGAGAUAUAAACUGUCUCUUAUUUAAUUAUAUAAUUUAAUUUUUUUAUUAAAAAGUUAAAAUAUUUUAAAAAGACGAGAAGACCCUAUAGAGUUUAAUAAAUAUUUAAGUUAAGAUUAUUUUGAGGUAUAAACUUGAAAUUUAACUAUUUAUUUUGUUGGGGUGAUAAAAAAAUAUAAAAAACUUUUUUUUAAAAUAAUACAUUUAUAAGUGAUUAAAUGAUCCAAUAUUAUUGAUUAUAAGAAAAAAUUACCUUAGGGAUAACAGCGUAAUUUUUUUUUUUAGUUCAAAUAAGAAAAAGAGUUUGCGACCUCGAUGUUGGAUUAAGAUAAAAUUUAAAUGUAGAAG